RNAcentral lists this ribosomal RNA (108 nucleotides) under Candidatus Zixiibacteriota bacterium. Lineage: Bacteria; Pseudomonadati; Candidatus Zixiibacteriota. The record is from RNAcentral.
CCCGGUGCCCAUAGCGGCGGGGCCACACCAGUUCCCAUUCCGAACACGACGGUUAAGCCCGCUGCGGCGAUGAUACUGCAAUCGCGGGAAAGUAGCUCAGCGCCGGGA